This is an RNA transcript of Mastomys coucha (southern multimammate mouse), 558 nucleotides long. It is a transcript of the gene named ragulator complex protein LAMTOR4 pseudogene, with no coding region annotated. The record is from RefSeq and is a predicted model, not a curated record. The transcript has a single exon. NCBI's taxonomy places the organism in Eukaryota, Metazoa, Chordata, Mammalia, Rodentia, Muridae.
UCCGGUAGACUGCUUACCCCGCACCUGCGGCUGCGAUGACUUCCGCACUGACCCAACGGCUUGAGCGAAUCCCAGACCAGCUUGGCUACCUGGUGUUGAGCGAAGGUGCAGUGCUGGCAUCAUCUGGGGACCUUGAGAAUGAUGAGCAGGCAGCCAGUGCCAUCUCAGAGGUGGUCAGCACAGCCUGUGGCUUCCGGCUGCACCAUGGCACGGACAUCUCUUUCAAACGCCUAUCUGUGGUCUUUAGUGAACACAUGCUGCUGGUGACUGUGUCAGGACAGAGGGUGUUUGUGGUGAAGAGGCAGAACCGAGGUCGGGAACCUGUUGAUGUCUGAGCUAUAAAAAGCACUGGCUGGAAAAGAGGCCUGCCUCUGGGGCCUGUGGCGGGGGCACACCAUCUUUUACUGUUCUUGCUGGAGCUGGGCUUGUACUCACUACCUCCUUCCUGACCCCACCCGAGGCACAAGGCUUAGUGACUUCUACACUAAGGGACAAGGGAAACUAUGACUAGAGGGAUCCCCUUUCUUCCCUUCUGUGUAAUAAACCUAGUCCAACCCU